This 494-nucleotide ribosomal RNA is filed under the name uncultured bacterium. RNAcentral describes it as "partial 16S ribosomal RNA". It matches the Rfam family "Bacterial small subunit ribosomal RNA", at positions 28 to 507 of the family's 1533-position model. The record is from RNAcentral.
GACGAACGCUGGCGGCGCGCUUAACACAUGCAAGUCGAACGGAAAGGCCUGCUUUCCCUUGUGGAUUGCGGGUACUCGAGUGGCGAACGGGUGAGUAACACGUGAGUGAUCUGCCCCCAACUUGGGUAUAAGCCUGGGAAACUGGGUCUAAUUCCCGAUAGGACUGCAGGGUGGUGCCUGUGGUGGAAAACGAUUUUCUAGUGGUUGGGGAUGAGCUCGCGGCCUAUCAGCUUGUUGGUGGGGUAAUGGCCUACCAAGGCGGCGACGGGUAGCCGGCCUGAGAGGGUGGACGGCCACAUUGAGACUGAGAUACGGCCCAGACUCCUACGGGAGGCAGCAGUGGGGAAGAGUGCACAAUGGGCGGAAGCCUGAUGCAGCGACGCCGCGUGGGGGAUGACGGCCUUCGGGUUGUAAACUCCUUUCGACCGCGAGGAAGCCACCUGGUUGGAAGGGUGGUGACGGUAGUGGUAGAAGAAGCACCGGCUAACUACGUG